This 207-nucleotide ribosomal RNA is filed under the name uncultured bacterium. Its description in RNAcentral is "partial 16S ribosomal RNA". It matches the Rfam family "Bacterial small subunit ribosomal RNA", at positions 1294 to 1500 of the family's 1533-position model. The record is from RNAcentral.
CAGAUUGCAGGCUGCAACUCGCCUGCAUGAAGUCGGAAUUGCUAGUAAUCGUGGAUCAGCAUGCCACGGUGAAUACGUUCCCGGGCCUUGUACACACCGCCCGUCACACCAUGGGAGUCGGUAACACCCGAAGCCUGUAGUCUAACCGCAAGGAGGACGCAGUCGAAGGUGGGAUUGAUGACUGGGGUGAAGUCGUAACAAGGUAGC